GUGUCCUGCUGACUUCAAACUCCCACCCUAUGUGAACUUACCACUGUUGCCUCGGCGAGCUGCGCUACCCUGUAGCUACUUUUGUAGCGACCUGGGAGCGCGUUAUAGGCUCGCCAGAGGACCACUAAACUCUGUUUUAUUUGUAUCUCUGAAUCUUAUAACUGAAAUCAGUUAAAACUUUCAACAACGGAUCUCUUGGUUCUGGCAUCGAUGAAGAACGCAGCGAAAUGCGAUAAGUAAUGUGAAUUGCAGAAUUCAGUGAAUCAUCGAAUCUUUGAACGCACAUUGCGCCCAUUAGUAUUCUAGUGGGCAUGCCUAUUCGAGCGUCAUUUCAACCCUUAAGCCUCAGUAGCUUAGCGUUGGGAAUCUACAGGUUAUAGCGUAGUUCCUUAAAGGUAGUGGCGGAGUUAGAGCACACUCUAAGCGUAGUACUUAUUUCUCGCUUCUGGUAGUGGCUUUGGCGGCCGGCCGUGAAACCCCCUAUAUUUCUAAUGGUUGACCUCGGAUUAGGUAGGAAUACCCGCUGAACUUAAGCAUAUCAAAAGCCGGGAGGAA
Molecule: ribosomal RNA, 555 nt
Filed under: fungal sp. TZ-2013
Lineage: Eukaryota; Fungi
Description: eukaryotic LSU rRNA
Rfam family: 5.8S ribosomal RNA (bases 176-329)
Source: RNAcentral